UCCCUCAUAGAUCAGUCAGUAAAUCAUCUGCCUGCAAUGCAGGAGACUCGGGUUCAAUUCCUGUGUCGGGA
This 71-nucleotide transfer RNA is filed under the name Bos taurus (domestic cattle). It matches the Rfam family "tRNA". From Rfam's summary of the family: Transfer RNA (tRNA) molecules are approximately 80 nucleotides in length. Their secondary structure includes four short double-helical elements and three loops (D, anti-codon, and T loops). The record is from Rfam by way of RNAcentral. Lineage: Eukaryota; Metazoa; Chordata; Mammalia; Artiodactyla; Bovidae. RNAcentral also lists the same sequence under 4 other names.